This 387-nucleotide ribosomal RNA is filed under the name uncultured bacterium. RNAcentral's name for it is "bacterial SSU rRNA". It matches the Rfam family "Bacterial small subunit ribosomal RNA", at positions 30 to 416 of the family's 1533-position model. The record is from RNAcentral.
AUUGAACGCUGGCGGCAUGCCUUACACAUGCAAGUCGAACGGCAGCACGGGAGCAAUCCUGGUGGCGAGUGGCGAACGGGUGAGUAAUAUAUCGGAACGUGCCCAGUCGUGGGGGAUAACGUAGCGAAAGCUACGCUAAUACCGCAUACGAUCUACGGAUGAAAGCGGGGGAUCACAAGACCUCGCGCGAUUGGAGCGGCCGAUAUCAGAUUAGGUAGUUGGUGAGGUAAAGGCUCACCAAGCCGACGAUCUGUAGCUGGUCUGAGAGGACGACCCAGCCACACUGGGACUGAGACACGGCCCAGACUCCUACGGGAGGCAGCAGUGGGGAAUUUUGGACAAUGGGCGCAAGCCUGAUCCAGCAAUGCCGCGUGCAGGAUGAAGGCC